RNAcentral lists this long non-coding RNA (3682 nucleotides) under Coffea arabica (coffee). RNAcentral's name for it is "long non-coding RNA (CARA_LNC006552)". The record is from RNAcentral. Lineage: Eukaryota; Viridiplantae; Streptophyta; Magnoliopsida; Gentianales; Rubiaceae.
AGCAAAUGAGCUAAUGUUAAAAGACCUAACUAACCUUGAGCCUUGGUUAAAACUACCAUGCGGCCAGUAGAAUGUCUGAACUCUAGAAGUAACAACCGAGUGGAUGAACUUUGGAACCAUCAACCACCGACUGAAGAAGAAGUCUGAGUGAUCAGCCACUUUGAUAUCAUCAACCGAGAGGAAACAAAAGAAAGAAAACAGAGCAACCGAAACUUUUCUUCUUCAUUCCAAAAUUUGUGAGAAAGAGUGAGAGUGAGGGAGCAUCUCUGGUUCCUUCCAGCCACAACGGAGUGAGUAAGAGUGUAAGGUAGAGAAAAAGGAGAACUUAGAGCCUUUCAUCUUAAAGAAUCGAAGGAGGAAGGAGUCUGCCUGCAUUUUUCUUCUUUUCGGCUUUGGUUGUAUUAAAAGAGAGGUAAAAUGCUGUAACACUCUCUUAUUUAUCUGGUAUAAUUGAAUGCUUAAGCUGCAUGUUAAAAUUUAGCAAGGAAAAUGAGUUCUUGACCGAGGAAAAUUCUGUUUAGUGACUGACUAAGUGCUAGAGAAGAAAACUGAAAUGACCGAGAGGAUGAAACUGGAAUUGCAGCUUGUUAACCGAGUUUUCUGUGGAGAAUAAUGUUAGGAAAUGCAUGUAAAAUGUUUACCUUAAGUAUUACAAGUAGAUUAGCUGAAGAGUCUUGUAAAAAAGCUGGAAAUGUUCGUUUGAAGCUGCUAUGUGAUACUUGAUGAGCUAAUCUGCAAUUUUCCAGUUGUGUCUUCUGUUGCAUGUCUUACAUACAUUUUCUGGCCACAUAUCUUGACAUGCACCCUAUUUACACUGUCGAAUAAGGCCUGUUAAGAUGAGAUCAUGCCGAACUUUUAAAGCCACACCAAAACUAGAAUCCCAAGACAGCAAAUUUGGAGGAAGAAACGCUGCUGCAACUUUGGUCUUGUUAUUUGCAAACUUUGGUAGAUUGUAACUGGAACUCAUGUUUCAGGCCCUGUAUAACAUCUAUAGGCUGAUGCAUGUGAUACUUGAGAGGUUAAAAGCAAGAAAAGAUAGACCUGUGAGCAAUAUCAAGGCUGGAAAUGUUAACUGCUGGCUACGGUUCCGUGGGAAAUUAGUGACAGCAACCGAAAGAGAAAGGAAGGGAACCGUGGCUGUCCUCUAUAAACCUUAGCUCCUAAACCUGUGUAGUAAGUGUAACCUGUCAUCCAGACCUUAAACCUCAACAAAGACGAGCGAAACCAGUAGAAACUCAACUACAUACUAAAGUAGAAAUGAGUGCAGGUUGGUUGGCAGAGGGAGUGAAGCAGAAGGUGCUUCUGACCGUACAUUUUUGACCUUGAAAAUGCAAGAACUGGGUGUCAAUGUCUUCAUAAUAAAUGUAGGUCUAUGUCUUAGCUUCGAAAAGCUAUAAAAUUUGCCUCAAUCCGAUAAGCGCAGCUCCAGUUAUAAUCAGAAUACCAGAGGAUGGCAAAGCUGCCUUUCUCGUUGCCUUUCCUUUUGUUCCCGAAUGCACUUUGCUAAGAUGCUAGCCGUGAGGAACCAACUUUUAACCAGCAUUUCUACUAAUUUCCAACCUUGUAAGCUUUCAUAAAUGGUAGCUACGGUUGUUUUGAGAUUUAAUGGCUAUAUAUAGUUCCACGAGUAGAGUUAAAUUAAAGCAAAUGAGAGGAAAACUCAUGAUAGUUACGUACCUAAAUUGGCUUCUAAUCACUUAAUAUUGUCCUUACAAAUAUUUCAAAGACUAUAAAAUUUGAGGGAUUGGUGUAGUGGAAGAAAAUUUAAUUUACAAACCGCUUAGAAUCUAGCUAGUUAAAAGGGAAAUCAAUGGAUGUCUAUAAGCCAUAAUUAAUGAAUAUUGAAUUGAGAAAGAUAUAUUCAUGAUUUAAAUAUUAUAUAAAGAUACAAACUUGGGAAAAAUGUAUAAUUCUUGGUCUGAAAUAAUAAAGUUAAUAAAUUUUAAAAUAAAAUGUAAAAUAAAUAUAAAAUAUGUUAUAUCUUGUGUUGUAAGCCAAGCUUGACUUUAGUAGUUUAAAUCAUAAAGUAACAAAUGAUGAGUGAUAAUAUAUAAAUUGUAUAUUCAUUUUAGAAUUAUAAACUUGGAAAAUACGUAUAUUUCUUGGUUUAAAAAUGAUAAAGUCAAUAAGUCUUGAAAUGAAAUGUGGAAUAAAUAUUGAAUACAUUAUACUUCAUAUUUUAAAGUCAAAAUUGAUUCUAAUAAUUUAAAUAAUAGGAUAAUAAAUAAUCAAUGAACAUCUACAAAUAAAACAUGAUUCAAACGGCUUUAUAAGCAUUGUGUGUUCACCGUUAAGGUAAUAAACUAGUUUUACUUAUGAUCUUAAGUAAAAGAGAUUUAUAGGACAAUAAAGUACCUUAAAGGUAGUUAUUUCUAAAAUUUACCUUAUUAAAAGUUAAUGUUGAGAUUGAGUACGAUAAAUCUAAAAGUAUAAAAAUAGUGAAGUCACAAUACUGGAAUUGCUACUUAAACUUCCUUUAUUUUGGAAAUUAAAAGUUGAAGUCACGAAUGAAUGUGAGAAAAUGCACUAGUCGCCUCAUUUAAACAUAGCAAUGACUUAGAUUUUGGGUGGAAUGGUGACUUAAGGCUAGAAUACAACACGUAUGUUGAUUAAACUUUAGAACUUCACCAAAUGAGUGGUUAAAUAAUUAUGGCAAUUAUAACUUGUCUCAGGAGACAGCGGUAUGCAAGAAAGCAAUUUCGAGAUCGAAGUGUAACUUUUGAUUAGGGUGAGUGUUUUUCGAAUUUAUGUGUUUAACUGUUUAUGUGUAUCUAAGUGAAAUUAUGUGACAAAUGUGUUUAUCAUGAAUUAUUACAAAAUGAUUCCUUGUGAAGUGUAUCUCAAUUGUUCAUCGCCUUCUAAGUCGAGGAUGUACUUUAUCGCACUCGACUUAGUUGAGUUUGAAGGUCGAUAAUUGACUGAAUGUUACUGUAAGUGCGCAUGAAUGUAAGGCGUAUGUGUACCUCGCCGCAUUGGCUGAACUGGGCCCCAAAACCCUCUGUUCAACGGACUAUCCGAGCCAGCAAAGGGCUUGGUCGGGUAGGACGGUAGCUUUGGAUAAAUGUUUCGGUAUACUCGAGUAUUACCAUGAGGUUGGGAGAUUAUUGAACUGAUUAUUGAAUGUAAGGGAUUGUUUAUUGUUUUGAAGGACAUAAGGAGGUGAAUUGGCGGAGUGAAUGCAAUGAUAUUGAAAUGAAUGUAUAAUGACAGUGAAAUGAGUGUCUCUUGACACUGAAAUGAAUGCUCAAUGACAUUGAAGUGGCUCUAAUGCGAGCACCGUAUCCUUUUAAAAGUGAUUGUUUAGUGAAGUGUUUCCUCAAUUGCUUAAUGAAAGUGAUUGUACAGUGAAAUGUGCACUACUUGCUUAAUUGUACUGAUUUAAGUGUUUAUUAAAGGUUGCUUGCUCGGCAAACCUCACUGAGCUUUAGCUCAGGCCUUUAGUUUUGUUUUCCUUACAGGAGUUGGUGGUCGGGGAACGAACGAGCGAUCUUAGGGAGUUAACGUGAAGAUUUUUAUGAUUGUAAAUCUUUUCGUUUCAUAUUAUGGUUGAAACUUUUGUAUUGAGCUUGGUAUUGUAAAAGAUUUGAGCGUUUGGUUUUGGUUUAUCAAAAUGUUAUCUCUGAAGUUAAUGUAAGUGAGUGAGCCCUGGCGAGAGUCAGGCAGGCGAUCCACUAACUUUUAG